UGAGGAAUAUUGGUCAAUGGACGCAAGUCUGAACCAGCCAUGCCGCGUGCAGGAUGACGGUCCUAUGGAUUGUAAACUGCUUUUGUACAGGAAGAAACCCUCUUUCGUGAAAGAGAUUGACGGUACUGUAAGAAUAAGGAUCGGCUAACUCCGUGCCAGCAGCCGCGGUAAUACGGAGGAUCCAAGCGUUAUCCGGAAUCAUUGGGUUUAAAGGGUCCGUAGGCGGUUUUGUAAGUCAGUGGUGAAAUCUGGUCGCUCAACGAUCAAACGGCCAUUGAUACUGCAAGACUUGAAUUACUAGGAAGUAACUAGAAUAUGUAGUGUAGCGGUGAAAUGCUUAGAUAUUACAUGGAAUACCAAUUGCGAAGGCAGGUUACUACUAGUGGAUUGACGCUGAUGGACGAAAGCGUGGGGAGCGAACAGG
RNAcentral lists this ribosomal RNA (424 nucleotides) under uncultured Flavobacterium sp. RNAcentral's name for it is "bacterial SSU rRNA". It matches the Rfam family "Bacterial small subunit ribosomal RNA", at positions 355 to 776 of the family's 1533-position model. Lineage: Bacteria; Pseudomonadati; Bacteroidota; Flavobacteriia; Flavobacteriales; Flavobacteriaceae. The record is from RNAcentral.